RNAcentral lists this ribosomal RNA (468 nucleotides) under uncultured bacterium. Its description in RNAcentral is "partial 16S ribosomal RNA". It matches the Rfam family "Bacterial small subunit ribosomal RNA", at positions 28 to 507 of the family's 1533-position model. The record is from RNAcentral.
GACGAACGCUGGCGGCGUGCUUAACACAUGCAAGUCGAACGGAAAGGCCCUGCUUUUGUGGGGUGCUCGAGUGGCGAACGGGUGAGUAACCCGUGAGUAACCUGCCCUUGACUUUGGGAUAACUUCAGGAAACUGGGGCUAAUACCGGAUAGGAGCUCCUGCUGCAUGGUGGGGGUUGGAAAGUUUCGGCGGUUGGGGAUGGACUCGCGGCUUAUCAGCUUGUUGGUGGGGUAGUGGCUUACCAAGGCUUUGACGGGUAGCCGGCCUGAGAGGGUGACCGGCCACAUUGGGACUGAGAUAAGGCCCAGACUCCUACGGGAGGCAGCAGUGGGGAAUAUUGCACAAUGGGCGGAAGCCUGAUGCAGCAACGCCGCGUGCGGGAUGACGGCCUUCGGGUUGUAAACCGCUUUCGCCUGUGACGAAGCGUGAGUGACGGUAAUGGGUAAAGAAGCACCGGCUAACUACGUG